RNAcentral lists this long non-coding RNA (1050 nucleotides) under Pongo abelii (Sumatran orangutan). RNAcentral's name for it is "lincRNA". The record is from RNAcentral. Lineage: Eukaryota; Metazoa; Chordata; Mammalia; Primates; Hominidae.
AGAGCAGGAGCAUACGGACAGAGGAGAGGCAGAAGCCAGGCUCUGCAGGGCUGUGGAAGCUGGAGAAGUAGGUGGUCCCAGAGUCCCACACCCAUGGGGGUCCAGGAAGUUAGGCUGAGGUGAGGUCAACUGCUCUGUGUGUGGGAGCCAGAGAAGAAAGCAGCACAGAACAAAUGCAAACCAAGGAGGCUGGAAGAUAAGAGCAGAGCCAUCAGGACCCAAGCCCCUCGGGGCGUUUCAGAGCUUCCUGUGUGCAGCAUGGAUCUAAAGCUGGUGGAUGCAGGGGGGUGAACAAGACAACAUCUUCACUUCCUGCAUGCUGAUGGCGGAAGUGAGACAUCAGCGAAGAAACAUCACGAUCACCAAAUUAUGAUGAACACCAUGGAGAAAACAAAGGACACUGUGACACCAAGGAAGGAAGGGAAGUUACUUUUCAUAGUGGCUGUAAAUAGAACUGAAGGCUGAAAAAGAGCUGUUAAAAUGGCUUGUUUGAAGAUGAAUGAGAGUAUAUAAUAAAAGGAAAAAAUUUGGACACAGACACACACAGAGGGAUGACCACGUGGAGACGCAGGGAGAGGAUAGCAGCUACAGGCCAGGGCGAGAGGCUUCAGAGGAAACCAGCCCUGCUGACUCUUUGAAGUCGGACUCCCAGCCUCCAGAACUGAACCACCGUCUUCCUUUAUCCCAGGAUGUCUGCAAGGAAGAAAAUGUCCCUUUUCUAGCAUUUAGAGGCCACCAACAUUGAAUAACCACACUGGGAUAGACACAGCGGGGAAAAGAUUCCUGCUGUUCCCAUCACAGCAGCCUUGGAGAUGAGGAGACAGAUGGAUCUGACCAGAAGUCUGGAGAACUUCGAGAAAAAAGGAGGAGGACACAAAGGGAAAUAAGUAAAAAGAUAUGUCUGGAGCAACUAUGAGGAUGGCAAAUUGGUGUCUAAUUCUGAAAAUCAUAAUUGGUAUAAAUGCUAUGCACUGUGGAAGGAGGGAUGAAAGGUAGAGGGAAUAAAAAAGAACAUGAAGUCAGAAUCCUUGGCACGAAAGCCUGCCGUUU